UGGAACUUGCUCUUGUGAAGUGUUGAAGAAAGAAAAUGCCUUCUUAAAAUCAGAGCUAGAAACUUUAAAGAUUGACUACACUCAGUUAAUAAAGGAGAAAUCAGUUGAGAAUUUCAGUGAGAGACAAGUCAAUUUAUUAAAAGCUCACAUACUCCAGCUGGAGUGACAGUUAUUAAUAUUAUCUGAUGCUCUUGAGGGCCAGGUUCAAUUGCUAUCUGAUCUUCAGGUUUAUGGGGAGGCACUGGAAUAUAAGAUAAAAAAUAAAGAGCCAAUUGCUGAAGAUGCAACACGUUUAAGAAAGUUAAAUCAAAGGCUUAAAAAAGUGUCAUGUCCCAGAGAAGAUGUUGCUCUAUCUUUAGUGUAUACUGGUGGAUUAUCAAAGCCACUCACAAUAUUGGACUCUUUAUCUAACAAAGAUAAUAUAUCACUUAGAGAAAUAGUGAGUACUGAUGAGUACAUGUGCCAAUGUAUUGUGUGCUUACUGGGAAAGAAUUUAG
Long non-coding RNA from Amphimedon queenslandica, 497 nucleotides. RefSeq lists it as uncharacterized. The transcript is spliced from 6 exons. Lineage: Eukaryota; Metazoa; Porifera; Demospongiae; Haplosclerida; Niphatidae. The record is from RefSeq and is a predicted model, not a curated record.